UACGUAGGGUCCGAGCGUUGUCCGGAAUUAUUGGGCGUAAAGGGCUCGUAGGCGGUCUGUUGCGUCGGGAGUGAAAACUUACAGCUUAACUGUGAGCGUGCUUCCGAUACGGGCAGACUUGAGGUAUUCAGGGGAGAACGGAAUUCCUGGUGUAGUGGUGAAAUGCGCAGAUAUCAGGAGGAACACCGGUGGCGAAGGCGGUUCUCUGGGAAUAUCCUGACGCUGAGGAGCGAAAGUGUGGGGAGCGAACAGG
Molecule: ribosomal RNA, 253 nt
Filed under: uncultured bacterium
Lineage: Bacteria
Description: partial 16S ribosomal RNA
Rfam family: Bacterial small subunit ribosomal RNA
Source: RNAcentral